GGACGGAAAGCUUCUUUCAACAUCAGCAACAGUUAGUCAGACACCUCGGUAGCUAGCUAGACAAAAUAGCCGAACCAAUAAAGCUCUUUAGAUGCUUUCGUGAAUAUUAACCACUGUGUUUUAAACCCUCUUCUGUUGUCUAGUUAGUUAUCCGAUUUAAUUUCAUAUUUACGGUGUUGUUAUUGUUAUCAGCUAGCGGGCUGGUUAAGUUAGCAUUAGCAUAGCUAGCUAACAUUCCCGACCAUGAGCUCACUAAACUACUCUCGUCCUGCAAAAGAAGAGGACGUCUGCUGGACGGAGAAAGAGGGUCUGUGGCUAAACGUUGUCGUGAAAGAGGAGGAAGAGGAUGUCACAAUACAAAAACAAGUAGAGGGUGAGGAUGUUACAGUGAAAGAAGAAGAGAAAGACGUUUCAGUGAAAGAAGAGGAAGACGCUUUCAGAGUGAAAGAAGAGGAUGUUACAGUAAAAGAAGAGGAGGAAGAGAAAGAGGAGGAAGAGAAAGAGGAGGAAGACGUUUUUGGAGUGGAGGAGGGGGAGAUGACUGUCACAUUGGAAGAAGAAUAUGAAGAGGAGGACACUGGAUAUCUGGGCUCUGUUUCCCAAAGGCAUGUUAAGGCAUCCUAUGGUUCUAACGAUGAACGGGCCCUGGUUAACACUAGAGAGAGACGGGUCUAUCGUGGAACCUCUGGGGAGCCUCAACAACCUCAUGAUGCUGACGAGGCAGAGAAGAGUCUCUCCAGAUCAGAACACCUCAAGAAACACCAGCGAUCCACAGGGAAGAGAACUCACUGCUGCUCUGACUGUGGGAAGAGAUUCACCUCCUCAUCAGGCAUUAAAAUUCAUCAGAGAAUCCACACCGGAGAGAAAUCUUACGGCUGUGAUCAAUGUGGGAAGAGUUUUGUAAAAUAUAGACAUCUGAAGAUACACCAGAGAACACACACAGGAGAGAAAUCAUAUAGCUGUGAUCAAUGUGGGAAGAGUUUUACUCAGCUAAGCAGCCUGAUAUCACACCAGAGAACACACACAGGCGAGAAACCUUAUAGCUGUACUCAAUGUGGGAAGAGUUUUACUCAGCUAGGCAUCCUGAUAUCACACCAGAGAACUGUCGUGACGUUGCAUUAGUUAAUGUGACAACUGUUGCUCAUCGAAUGAUUAAAUGUUUCUAAUUGUGUGAUUAAAUGAAUCAAGCAUUAACCUGGGGGCACCAUGGGAAAAUUAGUUUUAUUGAGUUUCUAUUUCCCAAAUUAACUCAAAGAACAUCAGAAUAUCGAUUUUACAACAGUCGCUAAUGAAUCAGUUUCCUUCAUUCUGAACGUUGUAUAAUCCGGGAAUCUGCACGGACCCGGGUCUCACCAAUGAGUUCGUACCACACCAAUCUUAGUUGAGUAUUUAUUUACUAGAAAGCUAAAAUGAUGAUAAAAGAUACACAUACACCAAAAACACAUUCUAGGUUAUUGAUUAGAACCUAGUAUAACGGGCCAACACACUAUGGCGCGUGUUACCCAAAAUGGGGAUUUAAAAGAGAGAGAAAAAGAGAAAGUACACGAGAGAAAUAUACAUUUGGGUGCAUUUGUCAGCUGUGCUUAUUUUAACCCUAGCCUUGCCCCAAACUGCCGCUCUUAUGGGUCAGAAUAUAAUGAUGUAAUUACCUGUGGGGGGGUCUCAGAUGCGAAGCUCCACGUGGGUCGUUUAGGCUUCUCAAUGACGCACUUCUCCGGCGCAACUCUCUGGUCGUCCUCACGAUGUCAGUGUCCAUUUGGUCUGAUUCCUCGCCCUUGCUCUGGGAGGAGUCUUCUGAGGACAGACCGAUCUGUAGCUCAGGGCUCACAGCAUAGGAGUGAAACAGUGUAGAUACCACGAUUUGAUGGAGAGUGGAGGUUAGGUGGUCCGGCUUGAAUUCACCCGCUGAGACACAGCUACUCAUCAGUAGCAUGGGUAGAAAAAGAUGUCUUUGUCUUCAACCUUGGGUUGAGUUUUUGGUUCGUUGACUUUUUAGACCUUGGCUGCAGCUUGGGUCACUUAGUCUGAUCUGUUCAUUCUGCCUCACAGGUCUUAUACCCUCGGGUCAGAAGUGGGCGUAACCGCCUUUAGGGCUAUUCUCUGGGCGUACCAAGUCAAGAGGCAUGGUCUAGAUUUUACUCAAAUCCAAUUUUAGACAACUAACUUCACAUUUAGUCUUUACCAAAACAUUCUCUUUGAUUUGGACAUUUUCCACACAACGUCCAAUGUAUAAACAUCAAGAGUAUCCUAGGAAAACUCUUACAGUUACAAUGUUUUUGUGAUAACGUAAUCUAUUAACCUAUAAUAACAAAACAAAAAUGACAUAUUGUCAUGACCACCAUUGUGGCUGACGGAAAUCAUUGUUCCAAAGUCUUUUUAUUGCAUUUUUAAUGUUCUGAGGCUGGUUCUCCAUAGUGAGAGGACAAAGGAAUGUUGUCUGUGGCCUAAGAUUUACCAUCGGUGUGAGGGGUCAUAAAACCCCCACAUCUUCAGACCCCUAGAUCUCUCCUCCUCUGUUGGGGGUGAGAGAUAAACUGUAGGGUUGUGGUCUCCUGUAACCUGACCACACCAGAGAACACACACAGGAGCGAAAUCCUAUAGCUGUGAUCAAUGUGGGAAGAGUUUUGUUCAAUCUAGCCAUCUGAAGAUACACCAGAGAACACACACAGGAGAGAAACCUUUUUUGCUGUACUCAAUGUGGGAAGAGUUUUGUUCAAUCUGGUGAUCUGACAGUACACCAGAGAACACACACAGGAGAGAAAUCGUAUAGCUCUAAUCAAUGUGGUAAGAGUUUUGUUUCAUCUAUGGGUCUGACAGUACACCAGAGAACACACACAGAAUAGAAAUCGUAUAGCUCUAAUCUAUGUGGGAAGAGUUUUACUCAGUCAACCAGCCUGGUACAACAACAGAGAACACAUACAGGAGAGAAAUAUCUUAGCUGUGACCAGAGAUAAUCUGAUAAAAGAUCACAGAUCAAAUAUCAGAAAGUACAUACAUGAAGGAGUUGUUUCAUGAUAUCAAUGAAUUAAUGUCACAAUGUAAAAUAUUUUAACAUUGUAGAAGGAGUAUUUUAAUAAUGUCACAAUGUUGAAGCUUAAAUGUUUGCCCCUUUAUCAAUUGAUUUCAACAUGAUAUGGAUAUUAGCCUCAGGGGAAAAUCCAGACUCUGAUUUGAUAGUUGUGUUGUGUUACACUUACCACGUUGGUGACCCACUGGAAUCAAAAUGUAACACUUCAAAAUGUAGCUAGCGGUUUUCUACAAAUUGUCCUCCAACCAGUGAUAUUUACAUUAUUCCCAAAUUCCGUGUGGUUUUUGAGCUGUUAGUUUUAACAGGACGUGCAACCUCAUCUCCCUCCUUUUGCACAGUUGAUUUCAAUAUGAUAUCGAUGAGUGAUGACAAAUAAGUGUUGUGUUCCUUUGUUUAGUGAUCCCUAAAUUGAAAUGCAUCACACCAAAAUGUAGCUGACUGUCUUCUGCAGGUUCUCCUCUAACCAGUGAGGUUAAAGAUAUCUCCCAUUUCCAUGUGUUUAUUUUAGUUGUGUUAGUUUCAAGAACACAUAAAACCUAAUCGAAAUCAUGGAUUUAUUGCUACUUGUCAAAGCAACAGUGUUUUUGGUGCUUGUGCAGUUUAUACGGUGCUUGUUUAAAAAAAUACAAGUAAUAUGAUUAUUGUGGCAGAUGUUUGUGUACAUAGUACAUUUUAUGUUUAAGUUUUCAAUUUAUCCCAAACUGUUUCUGCAUAUUGGUUAUUGAUUUGGACACGUUAACACUGUGUUUUGACAUUGCGCUAUCCCACCUAGCAAAAUGUAAUUGAAAAAGUGUUGAAAAGAAGACUAUGCCCGACGUCCAAUAUACGUUCGGUUGAAAAUAUGUAUUUUCUGGUAGUUUUUUCAGUGACUUGAAAAUAAUUUCAAUUUACUUGCAGGUAGCCUAGUGGUUAGAGCGUUGGGCCGUCAUUGUAAGCCAGAAGUUGUUCUUAACUGACUUAUUUACAAUGAUGAUCUACCGGGGAACAGUGGGUUAACUGCCUUGUUCAGGUGCAGAAUGACAGAUUUUUACCUUGUCAGCUCGGGAUUCAAUCCAGCAACCUUUCGGUUCCUGUUAAAUGAAGGUUAAAAUAAAUAAAUAAAUACACAUGGAUGCAGUAUAAUAAAUUGGUCUAUAAUCAAUUUUAUUAACCAUCCUUCAUCAUUCAUGUAUUUCUUGACAACAUUCAAGUGCUAAUUGUCUUAAUUCCACUACUGAAGAAGCAUGACUCAAAUCACCUACUCAUAUUUCAAACAUUCAGCCUGACAAAAGAUACAUGUUUUAUUAAUCAAUGCCUCACCAUUAAGUUAAUUAUUGCCAACACAUUAACAAAGGGGUGUAUAUUUGGUUUUGAUAAUUAAUAUUUACAGUUCAUGUAACAUUUAGUAAUUAUUUGUGCAACCAACUGACAAUUUUUGGGUACAAUUAUAUUGACAUUGUUGCCCUGCUUUUAGAAUAUCAGGGUUCAUUCUCAGAUGUACCAACCCAAAUGUACUAGAGCAUGACAUUGGGGACUGGGCCCAGAUCCAACAACAUGUCUAUCCAGUGAAUCCUAAAAAAAGAGAGAGAGAAGCUCUGCAGUGAUGUGGAAAGUUACUACCGAUAUUGCAGGAGUUUCCUCUUGAAAUCAGACAUGUCUGUGGUAAGGACUACUUGGUUGCUGAUUGUCUCAAGGGUGGGCAGUUAAAAAUAUUUGUGUUAUGCGUUUAGCCAGUGGGUUGCCAUGGAUCACAAUUUUGACUGCAUGUUUUUCUGUAUUGGAGAUGAGUUUUGUUUGGGCUCGUUCCAAGGGGACGAGAGUUACAGAAGCUAGUGAGUUUUAGGAAGAGGAGAGUUCUGGAAGCUAGUGAGUUUUAGGAAGAGGAGAGUUCUUCAUGUUUUUAAUUUUUGACAGCCAGUUCAUAGUUGAUUAUAAUGUGAAAUAGAAAAAUAUAGGAUAUAUUUGUUGUCCUAAGGGGGAAGGUGUUACAGGCUUUGGUUUUUAGCACGUAGGACGCACAGAUUGGUGUCACCUCGUUAGUCAGUAUGUGUUACACCUGUGCUGGCUUGUCCAUCUCGUUAGUGGGAAGGUGUUUCACCUGAGCUGGUCCAGGUUCUAUUUAAGAGUGUCUGGCCCAGUGCUCCAGUUGUCUUGAUAGAUGUGGAGAGUCAACACCUUUUUGGUUUUCUUCCUGUCUUUAAGUUUGUUGUGGGUUUUUCUUUUGUUUGACUCUUCUUGGGCAGAUUUGGUGGGUGUCUUUUAUGUCCCAGUUGUUGUUACUAGUUAACUUUCAGUGUACACCCCCAUAGUGUAUUUCAGAACCCCUCCUAAAACCACACCUGUAGUUUUGGUUGUUGUCAAUGACUCUUUGUUAGAUCCCUCUUCUAUGUAAAGGACAUUUUUGGUUUUCUUUCUGAGAAACACAAACAAUGGAGUAAAACAAGCUUCAAGAUUGCAUCCAAUUCUUACUAUUUUAAUUGAUGGUAUUUCCAUAGAAUGCUCAGUCUUUCAGUUGUUAAUCUUGUUUUUUUUUUAUCCACUUAUGUUUGAUUGGUAAAUAAUUGUUUAUUUUCAUUUUUUCCUGUGAAGCCAUUGCAUUGCAUCCAUGUCUGAACUGUGCUGUAUAAAUAAAGCUUGUUUUGAUAACAUAUUACCAAAAACACCACCCCCGGCUCUACCAGGGGCUUGAGGUGGUCUCCCACAGCUCUGCUUAUGUUAUGUGGCCUUGCUAAUCCAUGUCUUGACUGCCCCUGCAACACAAAAAGAAACACAUUCAGUCAUAUUAUAUAAAACACUCAAAGUAAUGGAUAUGGAGCAUCUAUGGCCUACAUCUACACCUGGCACCUAAAUGUGACUUCUGUCAUCCGAUCACUCUAAGCUGCAUUAGGUUCAGAUCUACCAGGAUGGGCCUAUGACAGUCUGGAUGCAGUCAGGCCACUGAAUAGAAAUAUUCAAUGUAAAGAGAUGGGGUGAAAAGUACACUUGACACAAAUUACCUUCAUAAUAUCAAAGAACAAAUGUUUGUGUCUGAGGGGAAAUUAACUUUCAUACAGCCAAAAGGGGUGAGAAAUUACACCAAUAUCAGUGAAUAACUUGCACUAAUGUAAAUAAACAUAGAUGAUGGAACAUAUUCCCUUUUGCUGACGUGAUGAACCGCUAAGGGGACAUACAGUAUAUCACAAAAGUGAGUACACCCCUCACAUUUUUGUAAAUAUUUGAGUAUAUCUUUUCAUGUGACAACACUGAAGAAAUUACACAUUGCUACAAUGUAAAGUAGUGAGUGUACAGCUUGUAUAACAGUGUAAAUUUGCUGUCCCCUCAAAAUAACUCAACACACAGCCAUUAAUGUCUCAAUCGCUCAAUCCCACCCUCACUGGGUCUUCAGAGGAAAGGAAGGCUGAGGGGGGAUGGAAGGAUGAAUGGAUCAGUCAGUCAAUAAAGUGUAGAGCUGCUGUCUAUGUUGUCUGACAAAAUCACUAUUUUAGUAGUUUAUUAAAGUAAAUUAGACUUUAUGACCGCUGAAUACCAACGAUCAAUCACUUAGAUCAUGUAUUUUCAGGUAGAGAUACAUCCUUGGGACGUCCCUAGCCCGUCUAAAUUGACAUUUUAAAAUGGUUAAGGUAGGGGAUAGGGUAGGGAUGUCCCAAGGAUCCCGGAUAGCAUUGACCGUUGUGCAUUCUUCUGUAUCUUUUACAUAGCAGGUGAUGGGUUCUGACUUCUGAAAUUGAAAAUAUUAAAUAUCGUUAUUCAUGUCACUGUUUGAGAGAGGGGAAUGUAGAAUGUUUACAUUCUGUCAAAAUGUCUGUAAAUAUCAGUAAGGAGGAGACUUAGCAUAAAGGGUUAAAUACCAGCGCUUGUGUCUUGGUCUUAUGCAGCUGUGACUCAGUGGGUGAAUAAACUUGGUUUGAGCUUUA
Molecule: long non-coding RNA, 6921 nt
Organism: Oncorhynchus kisutch (coho salmon)
Lineage: Eukaryota; Metazoa; Chordata; Actinopteri; Salmoniformes; Salmonidae
Exons: 2
Source: RefSeq, a predicted model, not a curated record